UGGAGUUACCACUUGGAAUGGUUGCUUUA
This 29-nucleotide non-coding RNA is filed under the name Rattus norvegicus (Norway rat). The record is from RNAcentral. Lineage: Eukaryota; Metazoa; Chordata; Mammalia; Rodentia; Muridae.